AGUACCCGCUGAACUUAAGCAUCUCAUUAAGCGGAGGAAAAGAAACUAACUAGGAUUCCCUUACUAAAGGCGAUCGAAGAGGGAAAAGCUCGAUAACUUAAUCCCGCAAGGGAGAUGUAGUUAGGCUAUCUUUACAACGCCGGCAAGUGGUCUGGAAAUGGCCUUGCGAUACAGAGUUCAAGCCUCGUACAUACGGCAUGUAAGCACGUUAGCCUUUAGAGAGUCGGGUAGCUUGAGAUUGCUGCCUUAAGACGGGUGGUAUGCCCCAUCCAAAGCUAAAUAUUGUAAGGAGACCGAUAGAGUACAAGUAGUGUGAACGAACGAUGAAAAGAAUUCUACGACAGAGAGUGCAACAGUACCUGAACUUGUCUAGGGUAAGGCAUCUAAGAUGCGCCCGUCUUGAAACACGG
This 410-nucleotide ribosomal RNA is filed under the name uncultured eukaryote. RNAcentral's name for it is "eukaryotic LSU rRNA". It matches the Rfam family "Eukaryotic large subunit ribosomal RNA", at positions 20 to 664 of the family's 3401-position model. The record is from RNAcentral.